CUACGGGCGGCUCCAGUGAGGAAUAUUGCACAAUGGGGGGAACCCUGAUGCAGCAACGCCGCGUGGAGGAUGACGCAUUUCGGUGUGUAAACUCCUUUUAUAUGUCAAGAAAAUGACGGUAGCAUAUGAAUAAGCACCGGCUAACUCCGUGCCAGCAGCCGCGGUAAUACGGAGGGCGCAAGCGUUACUCGGAAUCACUGGGCGUAAAGGACGCGUAGGCGGGUUGAAAAGUCAGGUGUGAAAGCCUACGGCUUAACUGUAGAACUGCACUUGAAACUCUCAAUCUAGAGUAUGGGAGGGGCAGAUGGAAUUAGUGGUGUAGGGGUAAAAUCCGUAGAUAUCACUAGGAAUACCUAAAGCGAAGGCGAUCUGCUGGAACAUUACUGACGCUAAGGCGUGAAAGCGUGGGGAGCAAACAGGAUUAGAUACCCUGGUAGUC
This 439-nucleotide ribosomal RNA is filed under the name uncultured bacterium. Its description in RNAcentral is "partial 16S ribosomal RNA". It matches the Rfam family "Bacterial small subunit ribosomal RNA", at positions 339 to 795 of the family's 1533-position model. The record is from RNAcentral.